Vicia villosa (hairy vetch) is the source of this 1007-nucleotide long non-coding RNA. RefSeq lists it as uncharacterized. The transcript has 6 exons. The record is from RefSeq and is a predicted model, not a curated record. Lineage: Eukaryota; Viridiplantae; Streptophyta; Magnoliopsida; Fabales; Fabaceae.
UUGGUUUCUUAAUACAAACCCUUCAAUUCUAAUUUCUCUCCUCCCCAAUCUAAUUUUUCUUUUCCCAAUCCCUUCUCAUCAAUGUUACUUCUUCUCCCAAUUUAUAUACAAUGGAACAAACAAGAGGACAGAGGAAGUCGAACCAGAACCGUCCCCUUCUUAACCCUAACCCCUAAACAGCAAAAUACUAAUUUCACAAAACUAUUGUGCUCGUCUUCUUCGUCAGCUAAUCUUCUAACUGAGUGAAAUAAUUGAAGGGGAAUCGGUGGUGAUGGAAGGUAACACUCAAGAUUCGUCGCCUCAGUCUUUUGGAAAGGCUAAUAGAGUUUUGUGGCGAGCGGUUAUCAUUUAUGAGCAAUUAUUCAAAUUUCGUCAAGCUUUAUAAACCACUUACCUCCUGGUCUAACUGUGAUGUUGAGGAAUUCAUCGCUUUUGAUCCUGUUCAUGGACUUGUGGUUUUGGAUGGCUGUUAUGAUAAGUUUUGCUCUUGGAGGUGUAAAUGGUUUGCUUGGACUAAUGAAGGGUCUGUCAACAACGGUAUUCUAAUGCCCGCGGACGAGAGGACAAAAUAUAGUCACCACUAGGAUCUUUGUCAACAGGAUCCCUUGGAAGCUUGAACGACGAUGAUUCAUCUGAGGUAGCUACGCUUCUUGAAUUAGUUGAGGGAGCAAUAAAGUAGAGGAAGAGAAAUUAAAGGUUUCUCUGUUACAUUUAUGUAUUAUUUUAUACAUAAGCACUUAUAAGAUAAGCGGUUUUCCCAUGUAAUUGCAUAUUACAGAAGGAGUUAAUAGUUCUCAUGAUGAGUGGAGGAGAUUUUAGAGUAUCGGUUUUUCCCGUUGCGAAGAGUAUUUUUACUUGGAUAAAGGCUAUACUGAUGAAUUUCAUUGUGUUUGAUAAGACAAGAACUCCUAUUGUUGGAAAGCCAAUGGUUGUAACUUCAAAAACAUGUCAGUUAGAGAUUUCUAUAAAUUUGUGGCUUCUGAGCAAAGGGUUAAGAUAAAAACAAU